Rosa rugosa (rugosa rose) is the source of this 572-nucleotide long non-coding RNA. RefSeq lists it as uncharacterized. NCBI's taxonomy places the organism in Eukaryota, Viridiplantae, Streptophyta, Magnoliopsida, Rosales, Rosaceae. The record is from RefSeq and is a predicted model, not a curated record. The transcript has 3 exons.
AGAGAGAUAAAGAAAUCGGAGAUAGAGAGAGAUAGAGAAGGAGAUCGGAGGAAAAUCCCUAAAGCAUAGAGUCGUCGCCGAGUCAAUCCAAUUGAAUCCGAUAAUUUCAAGCUAGGGUUCCAAAGUUUGAACCUUUAAUCCGUCUUUGUAAAGUUUGAGGCGUUCAAACAGAAAAGGGAAGAAGGGAAAAAUCAGUUUCAUCUCGAAUUUCAUAGAUUUUGAAGAAAUUUUAUAAGCAGUGUGAUCCUGGUCAGUGCUCUCUGUUUCAGUCUCCUUUUCUAAAUUUUAUUCCCUGCUGAAUUACUAUUUGCUGCUGCACCACUUUUUGUAUAGAUAGAACUGCAGCAAGCAAUGUUUUUGGAGAGACUCCAUGACCAACUUUUGAUAGCCUAACACCUUUUGUAUAUAUACCCCUGGAACAACUAGAACAACUAUUUUUUGGAAAAUGUUCCAGCAGCAAUUGUAACCAAGUUGACCUUAAACUAAGAUAGCCUAUUUUUUGAAAACUACUAUAAUGGAAAAUGUUGCCAGUAGAAACUUUGAUAAGAUCUCAAAGCUAGGGCAUGAUUUAA